CAUCUAAACUAUAAAAGAAUCUCAGCAUUUCAAAUCAAAAGCAAAUGCACAAAAAUCAAAUCCAGAUUAACUAAUCAUAAACUUCAAUUUCACAAACAGCGAUAGUGAAUUAAGCAAAAUCGAAGAAUCAUAGAGAGAGAGAAUGCAAUCAUGCAUAUACUGACCUUGAUGAUAACCUUGAUUUUCGAUCUGAGAUUUGAGAAAUGCAGUUAGAAAUGAAAAGGAAGAAGAAUCUAGAAGAAGUUAAAACCACCGUUAUCACUAGUAUUAAGUAUCAUCCACUCGCUACUUUGUGUGUUGUUUCUGAGAUUUGAGUCGAAAGAGUGAGUGCGAGUGUGUGAGUGUAAGCGUG
RNAcentral lists this long non-coding RNA (352 nucleotides) under Trifolium pratense (red clover). RNAcentral describes it as "long non-coding RNA (TPRA_LNC008608)". The record is from RNAcentral. Lineage: Eukaryota; Viridiplantae; Streptophyta; Magnoliopsida; Fabales; Fabaceae.